UACGAGGGCCCCGAGCGUUAUCCGGAAUAACUGGGCGUAAAGCGUCUGUAGGUGGUUUCAUAAGUAAUCGGUCAAAUCCUGGUGCUCAACAUGAGGACUGCCGGUUAAACUGUGGAACUUGAGGUCGGAAGAGGCAACUGGAAUUGCCGGUGUAACGGUAAAAUGUGUUAAUAUCGGCAAGAACACCAAAUGCGAAGGCAUGUUGCUGGGACGCACCUGACACUGAGAGACGAAAGCGUGGGGAGCGAAUGGG
Molecule: unclassified non-coding RNA, 253 nt
Filed under: Patescibacteria group bacterium
Lineage: Bacteria
Description: contains 16S-23S intergenic spacer region
Rfam family: Bacterial small subunit ribosomal RNA
Source: RNAcentral